Molecule: long non-coding RNA, 1620 nt
Organism: Phlebotomus papatasi
Lineage: Eukaryota; Metazoa; Arthropoda; Insecta; Diptera; Psychodidae
Exons: 3
Source: RefSeq, a predicted model, not a curated record
UUCGCGUCAAUGGGAGCAAGCAAGAAACGUCAGUUGGAGUUUUGCGCGAAAAUGUUUGCGAAUCUGUUUUUAAUAAUAUCGUGCAAAUUUAGUGAAAAAACAAUAAGGUGCGUGUCGUGGAUGCAAUGAUGGACUGUCUGGAGGAAUACUGCAGGAGGAAAUUUAGAAACAAUCCCUUAAAAUUGUCUUUCUACAGUUUCCGAUCUGAUUAAAUUUCAGAAAGUGUGGAAGCACCACUUGGAAAUUGAAGGAAAUAUCUUAAAAAGCAACCGUAUGUGAUUUUGCAGUUUGAGGAAAAGAUUUUGAUCCGCAAAAGCAUGGGAAGAAAAUGAAAAAUAUUUUAAAAAGGGGGCCGUUCCAAAGACAUUAAAUUCUAUAACAGGAAUUAGUUCUCCAUUGAUAAAUCAGACCAGAGUCAGUGAGAAGAACUGUACAGACUGUAUACUCAAAUUUGCUUGACAUAACCAUGGAACUAGAAUGCUUCGUGAACAACUGAAAAAAGGAAGCAGGAUGAAGACCGUUAUUGGAAAGUGUGUGAGAUGAACAAAUUAUCACCAUGGGGAGAUUAUAAUCAUAGAUGCGCAGAAGCAUACACAUUAAGAAAAAAAGAGACAUUAAGUUUCGAAUGAUGUGUCAAGAUCGUCAAGAUUGAUGAAUUUCUAAAAGGACAGCACAACAAAAACACAUUCCUUACACAGGCAGAACAGUUGAAUUAAUUUUUCGGUCAUUCAUAAUAUGAGAAUUAAUAAAAUUUAAAAUUACAAGAUAAAAUUAAUUUAUAAAUAAUAAAUUGAAUGUAUAUAGCAAGUAUAUUGCUUAGUACAAAAAAGUUUUAGGAUAGCACUGCAGUUUAAUUAAGAUUUAAUUUUGUCAUAUUUGAAAAAAAAAUUAUUAUAAUACAUCAACUGGCUAACCUCACAAAUUAACUUUCAUAAUUCUUUGAGAUUUUUCCAAUAUUAUCUUUCUGUGCUUUUAGUUCUUAGCUAUCUGCAGAUUUAAACUCAAAACAUCGCAAUGGUGUUGUCAAACGUAUAUGUUUUUUAUCGUAUUUUGAAAAGUGAUGAUAUUAAUUUUUUUUUUUUUCAAAAACCAUUAAUGUUAAAUAAAAAUUUGUAAAUUUUAACUUUUUAGUGUUCUUUAAUAUUUUGAAGUUAGCGAAAUACAUGCCUUUGAUAAAUUGUAUGAUUUCGCUACAUAUCUAAUUGCUUUCAAGUUACUAUUUUUUUUAAGUUAACGUGUAUAGAAAUUCGCUGUAAUUUAUAUAAAUAAAGUUUUUAAUUAAAAUAAGUUCACCUCUUUUCUUUAUAGUUUGUAUGUACAUUACAAUUAUGUAGCAGUAAUCAUGAAAAUUAAUUACUAAAUUACUAGCUUUGUCCCAAAAAAGUCGUACGCUUGGGAAAAAUUUACUGAAUAAGAAUUGAUUUUUGUAAUUUUUUUUUUAUUGGUAACAAUCUUAAAUAUACUUUCAUUCCAGAAAAAAGUGUAAUUUAUAACCUACGCCACUGUGUUUUCGUUAAAUGAAAUUAUUCAAAAAUUAUGUGUCGCUCCUGGCGACAUCUGUUACUUAUUCUGAGUGGCACGAAAUGUAAACAGCGACACUUUUUAGAGCUCCGUGUCUAC